CGCGUAGGCGGCUCUGUAAGUCGAAUGUGAAAGCCCCGGGCUUAACCUGGGAAUUGCGCUCGAUACUGCGGAGCUAGAGUAUGGUAGAGGGAAGUGGAAUUUCCGGUGUAGCGGUGAAAUGCGUAGAUAUCGGAAGGAACACCAGUGGCGAAGGCGACUUCCUGGGCCAAUACUGACGCUGAGGUGCGAAAGCGUGGGGAGCAAACA
Molecule: ribosomal RNA, 207 nt
Filed under: uncultured bacterium
Lineage: Bacteria
Description: partial 16S ribosomal RNA
Rfam family: Bacterial small subunit ribosomal RNA
Source: RNAcentral